AUUGAACGCUGGCGGCAGGCCUAACACAUGCAAGUCGAGCGGAUGAAGGGAGCUUGCUCCUGGAUUCAGCGGCGGACGGGUGAGUAAUGCCUAGGAAUCUGCCUGGUAGUGGGGGAUAACGUCCGGAAACGGGCGCUAAUACCGCAUACGUCCUGAGGGAGAAAGUGGGGGAUCUUCGGACCUCACGCUAUCAGAUGAGCCUAGGUCGGAUUAGCUAGUUGGUGGGGUAAAGGCCUACCAAGGCGACGAUCCGUAACUGGUCUGAGAGGAUGAUCAGUCACACUGGAACUGAGACACGGUCCAGACCCCUACGGGAGGCAGCAGUGGGGAAUAUUGGACGAUGGGCGAAAGCCUGAUCCAGCCAUGCCGCGUGUGUGAAGAAGGUCUUCGGAUUGUAAAACUCGUUAAGUUGGGAGGAAGGGCAGUAAGUUAAUACCUUGCUGUAUUGACGUUACCAACAGAAUAAGCACCGGCUAACUUCGUG
This 484-nucleotide ribosomal RNA is filed under the name uncultured bacterium. Its description in RNAcentral is "partial 16S ribosomal RNA". It matches the Rfam family "Bacterial small subunit ribosomal RNA", at positions 30 to 507 of the family's 1533-position model. The record is from RNAcentral.